UACGGAGGGUGCGAGCGUUGUCCGGAAUCAUUGGGCGUAAAGGGCGCGUAGGUGGCGGCUUAAGCGUGCGGUGAAAGCUCGGGGCUCAACCCCGAGUCGGCCGUGCGAACUGAGUCGCUUGAGCACUGUAGAGGCAGGCGGAAUUCCGGGUGUAGCGGUGGAAUGCGUAGAGAUCCGGAAGAACACCGGUGGCGAAGGCGGCCUGACUGGGCAGUAGCUGACACUGAGGCGCGACAGCGUGGGGAGCAAACAGG
This 254-nucleotide ribosomal RNA is filed under the name uncultured bacterium. RNAcentral describes it as "partial 16S ribosomal RNA". It matches the Rfam family "Bacterial small subunit ribosomal RNA", at positions 524 to 776 of the family's 1533-position model. The record is from RNAcentral.